RNAcentral lists this small RNA (645 nucleotides) under Pan troglodytes (chimpanzee). RNAcentral describes it as "retained intron". The record is from RNAcentral. Lineage: Eukaryota; Metazoa; Chordata; Mammalia; Primates; Hominidae.
GGCCCGGAUCCCCCGUCUGGUUCCGCCUCCUGCUCCGGCCUGGAUCCCUACUCCGGUCCCGACUCCUGUUCCCGUCCGGAACCCAACUCCGGUCCCGACUCCGGCUCGGACCCUGACUCCUCCAGUCCGGGUCCCAGCCCCAGCCCCAGCCCAGCUCCUGGCAGGGAUUCGGGCCGCGCUCCCCGUCUUGGACUCCUACCUGGCCCCGGCCCUACCUUUGGAUCCGCCCCCGGAACCUGCUCCGGAGCUGCCUUUGUUGCCCGAGGAGGACCCUGAGCCGGCGCCGAGCCUGAAGCUCAUCCCGUCGGUCUCCAGCGAGGCCGGGCCCGCCCCGGGGCCCCUUCCCACGCGCACCCCGCUGGCCGCGAACUCACCCGGGCCCACCCUGGACUUCACCUUCAGGGCAGACCCGUCGGCCACCGGGCUGGCGGAUCCCCCCAUUCCCAGUCCUGUCCCCUCGCCCAUCCUGGGGACCAUCCCGUCGGCCAUCUCCUUACAGAAUUCUACGGAAACUUUCCCCUCCUCCAGCGAGAACUUCGCGCUGGACAAGAGGGUCCUGAUUCGAGUGACCUACUGUACAUUCUACUGAAAAAGAGCCUGGAGCAGCAAUUUCCGAAUCACCUACUCUUUGUAAGUGUGUGGGGG